This is a long non-coding RNA of Daphnia pulex (common water flea), 747 nucleotides long. RefSeq lists it as uncharacterized. The record is from RefSeq and is a predicted model, not a curated record. The transcript has 5 exons. NCBI's taxonomy places the organism in Eukaryota, Metazoa, Arthropoda, Branchiopoda, Diplostraca, Daphniidae.
CGCUAGGUGGCUAAAAUGAUGUCCACCAGGUUGCGCGAGUGUCUUCAGAAUGCUGAUCGUGACGUCUGUAUUCGUGCGUCGUCCAAUGCACCAGCAAAUGUCUGUGCUGGUUACUUUGUUGCAGCCAGCUGGUGAUAGGUGUUCCUUUUGCAGGCUUGCUAGUUGCUAGCCGUAGGUAUUGGUUGUAACUUUCGUCACAGCGGUUUUUAAAGGCAAGUCGAAGAUCUUUCCUUUCUCCAUUUGUUUGCUGCCCUGUUAUGAAAAUGCGUGUUUGAGAGGGUCUCUACUAUAUAUUGCAAGACAAAAAUGUUAUGAAAACAGAAAAUCUGAAAAGGUGCAUGUCCAUGGUCAGUUUGGUGGUUCAGUGGUUUUGCAGUCAUUUUCCAGUUGAGAGAUGUGCUGAAAUGGAGCUUGUGCAGACUUGUAGUUCAAUACCAUACUUUAAUGUGUCAUUUGCCUAUUUUGAAAUCCAUGCAGUAUAUGCAGUGUUCAACAGUUGGGUAAUAGUCAAUGUUGCCUGAUGGCUGUCGGGCUUAUUUUAUCGGCUUCGUUUUGUCGAUAUGUCGUCUCUUGCUACCUGUACUGGCGUUUAGUUUAAUCGUUGCUGCCGUUCCAUAUACUUGAUCCAUUGGUAACACUGAGGAGAGAUUGCUGAAAUUCAAGACUCGUCAUUUCGUCAAUAAAUUAUGUAGAUGUAGAUAUAAAUUAAAGCGCAUAUCUGGGCUCCCUUCUUCAGUGGCCCCGUUU